GAGUGAACGCUGGCGGUAGGCCUAACACAUGCAAGUCGAACGGCAGCACAGUAAGAGCUUGCUCUUACGGGUGGCGAGUGGCGGACGGGUGAGGAAUACAUCGGAAUCUACUUUUUCGUGGGGGAUAACGUAGGGAAACUUACGCUAAUACCGCAUACGACCUACGGGUGAAAGCAGGGGAUCUUCGGACCUUGCGCGAUUGAAUGAGCCGAUGUCGGAUUAGCUAGUUGGCGGGGUAAAGGCCCACCAAGGCGACGAUCCGUAGCUGGUCUGAGAGGAUGAUCAGCCACACUGGAACUGAGACACGGUCCAGACUCCUACGGGAGGCAGCAGUGGGGAAUAUUGGACAAUGGGCGCAAGCCUGAUCCAGCCAUACCGCGUGGGUGAAGAAGGCCUUCGGGUUGUAAAGCCCUUUUGUUGGGAAAGAAAAGCAGCAGGUUAAUACCCCACUGUUCUGACGGUACCCAAAGAAUAAGCACCGGCUAACUUCGUG
RNAcentral lists this ribosomal RNA (493 nucleotides) under uncultured bacterium. Its description in RNAcentral is "partial 16S ribosomal RNA". It matches the Rfam family "Bacterial small subunit ribosomal RNA", at positions 27 to 507 of the family's 1533-position model. The record is from RNAcentral.